GACGAACGCUGGCGGCGUGCCUAAUACAUGCAAGUAGAACGCUGAAGGAGGAGCUUGCUUCUCUGGAUGAGUUGCGAACGGGUGAGUAACGCGUAGGUAACCUGCCUGGUAGCGGGGGAUAACUAUUGGAAACGAUAGCUAAUACCGCAUAAGAGUAGAUGUUGCAUGACAUUUGCUUAAAAGGUGCAAUUGCAUCACUACCAGAUGGACCUGCGUUGUAUUAGCUAGUUGGUGGGGUAACGGCUCACCAAGGCGACGAUACAUAGCCGACCUGAGAGGGUGAUCGGCCACACUGGGACUGAGACACGGCCCAGACUCCUACGGGAGGCAGCAGUAGGGAAUCUUCGGCAAUGGACGGAAGUCUGACCGAGCAACGCCGCGUGAGUGAAGAAGGUUUUCGGAUCGUAAAGCUCUGUUGUAAGAGAAGAGCGAGUGUGAGAGUGGAAAGUUCACACUGUGACGGUAUCUUACCAGAAAGGGACGGCUAACUACGCGCCAGCAGCCGCGGUAAUACGUAGGUGGCAAGCGUUAUCCGGAUUUAUUGGGCGUAAAGAGAGUGCAGGCGGUUUUCUAAGUCUGAUGUGAAAGCCUUCGGCUUAACCGGAGAAGUGCAUCGGAAACUGGAUAACUUGAGUGCAGAAGAGGGUAGUGGAACUCCAUGUGUAGCGGUGGAAUGCGUAGAUAUAUGGAAGAACACCAGUGGCGAAGGCGGCUACCUGGUCUGCAACUGACGCUGAGACUCGAAAGCAUGGGUAGCGAACAGG
Molecule: ribosomal RNA, 764 nt
Filed under: uncultured Streptococcus sp.
Lineage: Bacteria; Bacillati; Bacillota; Bacilli; Lactobacillales; Streptococcaceae
Description: bacterial SSU rRNA
Rfam family: Bacterial small subunit ribosomal RNA
Source: RNAcentral